Molecule: ribosomal RNA, 398 nt
Filed under: uncultured bacterium
Lineage: Bacteria
Description: bacterial SSU rRNA
Rfam family: Bacterial small subunit ribosomal RNA
Source: RNAcentral
GGAAUAUUGGACAACGGGCGAAAGCCUGAUCCAGCAAUGCCGCGUGAGUGCUGAAGGCCUUAGGGUUGUAAAGCUCUUUUACUGGGGAUGAGAAUGACAGUACCCAGAGAAUAAGCUACGGCUAACUCCGUGCCAGCAGCCGCGGUAAGACGGAGGGAGCGAGCGUUGUUCGGAAUUACUGGGCGUAAAGCGCACGUAGGCGGCUUGUUAAGUCAGGGGUGAAAUCCCGGGGCUCAACCCCGGAACUGCCUUUGAAACUGGAAAGCUAGAAUCCUGGAGAGGUGAGUGGAAUUCCGAGUGUAGAGGUGAAAUUCGUAGAUAUUCGGAAGAACACCAGUGGCGAAGGCGACUCACUGGACAGGUAUUGACGCUGAGGUGCGAAAGCGUGGGGAGCAAAC